UUUCUCCUCAGUUUGGAACCAUCUGUGACUGGAGCCAUGACGCAGCCAGCGCACAUUACUCACUUUUUACAGUCACGACUUGGAAAUCCGUGCGGUUUCCACCCCAAAAUUACACCGCCACCAUUGAAUUAUUUAAUAGGAUCCAGUUCAGGACGCUGGGGGGCUGCUGGUAAAUACGACCACCACGCAAGCUCGGAGAAAAGACCGUGUAGACAUUGAGGGCAGCCGUGGUGGGUGGAGGACCGUGCUGUGAAUUCAAGCGCUGCUGCUGCUGCUGCUGCUGCUGCUACUGCUGCUGGUGGGGUGUGUGUGUCUGUGAUUAAUUGCAUGAAAUGCUGUCUUUUGUCUGCCGAGAUGAGAGUCCCCCGUUACAAUCGGGGUUUGGCCAGGAGGUUGCUCUCCUUCACACCCCCCACCCCACCCCGGUGUUAUCCUAGUGCUCAUGGCUGCAUCAUGCCAUUGUCUGCGGGAUCCGCAAUUGUUUGCUGGGCUUUGUAUGGUAGGUGCACCAUUUUCUAAGCUUGCUUUUGCGGUGAGGCUCUGGCUCAACGUGCUCGGGGCUCGGCGAGGUGCUGUGUGUUGACUGGGGGGACGGAAAAAAAAAGCUGCUGCCUCGGCUAUUGUUUGCCCGGUGGCUUUGCCAGCCUCUUGCAGGUCCGAGGCUGCGGCUGAGCCCCCCUUGCACGGAGGGACAGCGUGGCGUGGGAUAACGGGGUGGUGCAUGGUGAGCGUGGUGGUGAGUGCCAGCCGGGGUUUCCGUGUCUCUCUCUUAAUGCAAUCUGAUGACAUGUCUUUGCUAGCCGGAAUGCCCAUCAAACCUGCAUGCUCAUUGCCUAGCCAGAACUUCCCCCGGCUCCCAGAAGCGGCUGAGGGCAUGACGGGGGUUUUUGCAGCACCGAGGUAACCCCACAUUCCCCUACUCCGUACACACCACAACAAUCCCCCGCUACUUUGCCUCUAAUUCAGUCAUUCCACCAACUCAUCUGCUGAGGAUAUGACUAAGGACGUGAAGGACGGGCAAUAAUAAAAACAGACACACACACACAAUCUGCAGAAGGUGCGAGGGGAGAAACGAGGUGGGAGGAGAAGGGGUGAGUCCAAAUAAAGCAACCUAUAGCCUCUUA
Molecule: long non-coding RNA, 1124 nt
Organism: Pogoniulus pusillus (Red-fronted tinkerbird)
Lineage: Eukaryota; Metazoa; Chordata; Aves; Piciformes; Lybiidae
Exons: 2
Source: RefSeq, a predicted model, not a curated record